AUGGUUAACACCAUGUUAGACACAUCGGGUCUUUCCAAGGAAUGGUGGGGGGAGGCGCUAAUGACUGCGUGUCAUGUCCUAAACCGAGUUCCCACAAAGCAUAAGACCAUGACUCCGUUUGAGGAAUGGGAAAGGAAAAGAUCGAAACUCUCUUACCUACGUACUUGGGGUUGUUUGGCGAAAGUCAAUAUACCAAUUCCCAAGAAGCGCAAGCUUGGACCAAAAACCGUGGAUUGUGUUCUUCUGGGCUAUGUUUUUCAUAGCAUCGGCUAUAGAUUUUUGAUAAUAAAAUCUGAGGUAUCCGACAUGCAUGUUGGUACGAUUAUGGAGUCGAAUGAUGCAACUUUCUUUGAGGACAUAUUUCCUAUGAAGGAUAUGUCGAGUUCAUCAAAUCAGGAGAUACCUAUGUCCCAUCCUCAGAUAGAAUCAUUAAAGAACAUUGCGAUGGAACACAUUGAGAAUCCUGUUGAGGGUGACAAUGGAACUCCUGUGAGGAGUAAGAGACAGAGGACUGCAAAGUCCUUUGGUGAUGAUUUCAUUGUGUACCUCGUGGAUGACACACCCAGGACUAUUUCAGAAGCCUAUGCAUCUCCUGAUGCUGACUACUGGAAGGAAGCUGUACGUAGCGAGAUGGAUUUCAUCUUAGCUAACGGUACCUGGGAGAUCACUGACCAUCCUUAUGGGUGCAAACCUGUAGGAUGUAAGUGGGUGUUCAAGAAGAAGCUUAGACCUGAUGGUACGAUUGAAAAGUACAAGGCAUGA
Molecule: ribosomal RNA, 762 nt
Filed under: Triticum aestivum (bread wheat)
Lineage: Eukaryota; Viridiplantae; Streptophyta; Magnoliopsida; Poales; Poaceae
Description: partial small subunit ribosomal RNA
Source: RNAcentral